Molecule: non-coding RNA, 46 nt
Organism: Schistosoma rodhaini
Lineage: Eukaryota; Metazoa; Platyhelminthes; Trematoda; Strigeidida; Schistosomatidae
Source: Rfam
GCACUGCUGAGGAGUCCCACAAUACGACGAGACGGCCGUCCAGUGC